UCUCUGGGUUGUUCAUCCUUCACUGUGUCUAGUCCAUCAAUUAAAUUCUACCAUAGAGCGGAUGUCAAGACUCCAGGCACACAGAGAAAAAGCCCUGAGAGGCAUGGUGGAUCACAUACCCGUCGGCAAACCGCGAGAUGAUCAUGAUGGGCCCAAAGGACUCCUCCUUAGCGAUGUACAUGUGGUCCUCCACGUUCGUGAAGACGGUUGGCUGAAAGAAGAAGCCUGUAGGGGAGACAGCAGCCUGAGGCAUGUAGGAGGUAUAGGUCCCUGACUGUCUCCUCCUACGCUGGCUAGGGCCUGGCUCACACAGCUCUCUGUUCAGUUCUGGUUCUAAUUGGGGCUCUAUAGACCCAGGCGCCUCAUCCUCUGCCUUCCAGGUAGAAAUGGUCAAGAAGUGUCAGCCCUGA
This is a non-coding RNA of Peromyscus maniculatus bairdii (prairie deer mouse), 410 nucleotides long. Lineage: Eukaryota; Metazoa; Chordata; Mammalia; Rodentia; Cricetidae. The record is from RefSeq and is a predicted model, not a curated record.